CUCAGUGUGAACACACAGUUAAUGAGCUAUUUACACACUCAUCUCAUAACGAAUGCGUUACUCUCACAGAAGGGCUGGGCCCAGCCUGGUCACACACGUGACCUGGUCCUCCGUGGUGGAGAGCAAGGACCUGGGAGAGGGCGUACUGCUCAGUGCUUCCUGCUGAUGCAGAGAACACGGCUGCCCUGGACAGUGCUCAGCGGCCCUGGGUAAAUGAAAGUCUCGCCCUCUGUUUCCAUAGCGGGAAGUACUGGGAUGGAACAUACUUGCCAGAAAAAGGAAAGUGUGCAUACAGUGUCAUCCAAGUUGAGUUUUCCUUUUAAGAUGAAGAAAAGGGCCCUGACGUUGUCUGGAAAUGCGGCCGUGAGAGAGGGGGUGAGCAUCGCUGCCCGGCUCCCUGCCCCUUUCCAGACGCAGCGCAUCUGAAGGAGGGUGGGGAAUGAAAGCCCAGCGCACCUGCGCUGCCUUCACUCUAUUCUUGCACUACCGGCUGCUGAAUUUUCUGAGGUUCACAUUGCCACAUGUUUGUGUUAAGAUUUGGGACCUAAAAGCCAAGCAGGGAUCCAUGAUUUCCGGGUUCGGCAGAGCCCGCAGGUGUCCCAGCGACGCCACCUGCCACACGCCUGCUGUGGCUCCUUGGCCUGCAUCCUUUGGGCGCGUGAGAUCCUGCUGCUGUGCUUCCUCCGCGGCCGUCCACGCGUCUUCACCUCGGCUUCUCCUUGCGGGAAUUACUGUUCUACACCUCAGCUCCAGGACAAGGCAGCAUCUGGGAAAUCUCUGCCUGCAGCCACCCAGAGGAAAGGCGGGGUGUUCUCUCAAGGUCUUUACACCCUGGGGUUCAGAUCUUCCUUCCAAGCUACGAAGCAAGCAAGCAUGAGGUAGGUCUCUGGAAGGCAGGGCUUCACCUGGAAGUGUCUGGAUUCUGCACAGCGGGGCUGGCAAGCUCGGAUGCAAGGCUAGGGGGCUGUGGCUGUGGGCAGCAGGCUUGCAAUUCCCGCCCCACCCCCGGGUCAUCUUCUGCCUGAUUCCUGACUGCUGCCCUGAGCUUCUCCGCUGAGCUGAAUGCACA
This 1069-nucleotide long non-coding RNA is filed under the name Fukomys damarensis (Damara mole-rat). RNAcentral's name for it is "lncRNA (ENSFDAG00000026479.1)". The record is from RNAcentral. Lineage: Eukaryota; Metazoa; Chordata; Mammalia; Rodentia; Bathyergidae.